Molecule: ribosomal RNA, 425 nt
Filed under: uncultured bacterium
Lineage: Bacteria
Description: bacterial SSU rRNA
Rfam family: Bacterial small subunit ribosomal RNA
Source: RNAcentral
UGGGGAAUAUUGGACAAUGGGCGCAAGCCUGAUCCAGCCAUGCCGCGUGUGUGAAGAAGGCCUUCGGGUUGUAAAGCACUUUUGUUCGGGAAGAAAUCUUCCGACCUAAUACGUCGGGAGGCUGCCGGUACCGAAAGCAUAAGCCCCGGCUAACUCUGUGCCAGCAGCCGCGGUAAGACAGAGGGGGCAAGCGUUGUCCGGACUGACUGGGCGUAAAGCGCGCGCAGGCGGUCUCGGGCGUCGGUGCUGAAAGUCCACCGCUUAACGGUGGGAUGCGUGCCGAUACGCCGAGACUGGAGGGUGGGCGAGGGUGGUGGAAUUGCCGGUGUAGUGGUGAAAUGCGUAGAGAUCGGCAGGAACACCCGUGGUGAAAACGGCCACCUAGCCCGCACCUGACGCUGAGGCGCGACAGCGUGGGGAGCGAA